CUUUCCUACUUUGGGGAGUAGCCGCGCUGCAGACCCUGGACCGCCACUAAGAGCGGCAAGGCAGCGACCUGCGUCAACACACUUGGCUCCAGAAGCCAUGGCGCAGGAUUCAGAUAUCAAGACUGAACCGGCAAGACCAGAGACUCUGCUGGGUGCGUGGGAUGAGACGCCGGUCUCUGCCGCCUGCAGGGUUUCUGUCU
This 200-nucleotide small RNA is filed under the name Sutterella sp. RNAcentral's name for it is "Manganese sequence". It matches the Rfam family "Manganese Mn2+ riboswitch aptamer (yybP-ykoY)". From Rfam's summary of the family: This RNA was originally discovered in E. coli during a large scale screen and was named SraF. The family was later found to exist upstream of related families of protein genes in many bacteria, including the the yybP and ykoK genes in B. subtilis. The record is from RNAcentral. Lineage: Bacteria; Pseudomonadati; Pseudomonadota; Betaproteobacteria; Burkholderiales; Sutterellaceae.